This 253-nucleotide ribosomal RNA is filed under the name uncultured bacterium. RNAcentral's name for it is "partial 16S ribosomal RNA". It matches the Rfam family "Bacterial small subunit ribosomal RNA", at positions 524 to 776 of the family's 1533-position model. The record is from RNAcentral.
UACGAAGGGGGCUAGCGUUGCUCGGAAUCACUGGGCGUAAAGCGCACGUAGGCGGCUUUUUAAGUCAGAGGUGAAAUCCUGGAGCUCAACUCCAGAACUGCCUUUGAUACUGGAGAGCUUGAGUCCGGGAGAGGUGAGUGGAACUGCGAGUGUAGAGGUGAAAUUCGUAGAUAUUCGCAAGAACACCAGUGGCGAAGGCGGUCUCCUGGAGCAGACUUGACGCUGAGGCGCGAAAGCUGGGGGAGCGAACGGG